RNAcentral lists this ribosomal RNA (497 nucleotides) under uncultured bacterium. RNAcentral's name for it is "partial 16S ribosomal RNA". It matches the Rfam family "Bacterial small subunit ribosomal RNA", at positions 28 to 507 of the family's 1533-position model. The record is from RNAcentral.
GAUGAACGCUGGCGGCGUGCCUAAUACAUGCAAGUCGAGCGAACGGACGAGAAGCUUGUUUCUCUGAUGUUAGCGGCGGACGGGUGAGUAACACGUGGAUAACCUACCUAUAUUACUGGGAUAACUUCGGGAAACCGGAGCUAAUAACGGAUAAUAUUUUGAACCGCAUGGUUCAAAAGAGAAAGACGGUCUUGCUGUCUCUAAUAGCUGGAUCCGCGCUGCAUUAGCUAGUUGGUAAGGUAACGGCUUACCAAGGCGACGAUGCAUAGCCGACCUGAGAGGGUGAUCGGCCACACUGGAACUGAGACACGGUCCAGACUCCUACGGGAGGCAGCAGUAGGGAAUCUUCCGCAAUGGGCGAAAGCCUGACGCAGCAACGCCGCGUGAGUGAUGAAGGUCUUCGGGUCGUAAAGCUCUGUUGUUGGGGAAGAACAGCUGUGUAAGUAAAUGUGCACAUCUUGACGGUACCUAAUCAAAAAGCACCGGCUAACUACGUG